This 253-nucleotide ribosomal RNA is filed under the name uncultured bacterium. RNAcentral's name for it is "partial 16S ribosomal RNA". It matches the Rfam family "Bacterial small subunit ribosomal RNA", at positions 524 to 776 of the family's 1533-position model. The record is from RNAcentral.
UACGUAGGUGGCAAUCGUUGUCCGGAAUUAUUGGGCGUAAAGCGCGGGCAGGCGGUCUCUUAAGGCUGAUGUGAAAGCCCACGGCUCAACCGUGGAGGGUCAUUGGAAACUGGGGGACUUGAGUACUGGAGAGGAGAGUGGAAUUUCAUGUGUCGCGGUGAAAUGCGUAGAUAUAUGGAGGAACACCAGUGGCGAAGGCGGCUCUCUGGCCAGUAACUGACGCUGAGGCGCGAAAGCGUGGGGAGCAAACAGG